UGACCGCUGGCGGCGUGCCUACUACAUGCAAGUCGAGCGACCAGAUAAGGAGCUUGCUCCUUUGACGUUAGCGGCGGACGGGUGAGUAGCACGUGGGUAACCUACCUAUAAGACUGGGAUAACUUCGGGAAACCGGAGCUAAUACCGGAUAAUAUUUCGAACCGCAUGGCUCGAUAGUGAAAGAUGGUUUUGCUAUCACUUAUAGAUGGACCCGCGCCGUAUUAGCUAGUUGGUAAGGUAACGGCUUACCAAGGCGACGAUACGUAGCCGACCUGAGAGGGUGAUCGGCCACACUGGAACUGAGACACGGUCCAGACUCCUACGGGAGGCAGCAGUAGGGAAUCUUCCGCAAUGGGCGAAAGCCUGACGGAGCAACGCCGCGUGAGUGAUGAAGGUCUUCGGAUCGUAAAACUCUGUUAUUAGGGAAGAACAUACGUGUAAGUAACUGUGCACGUCUUGACGGUACCUAAUCAGAAAGCCACGGCUAACUACGUG
This 495-nucleotide ribosomal RNA is filed under the name uncultured bacterium. Its description in RNAcentral is "partial 16S ribosomal RNA". It matches the Rfam family "Bacterial small subunit ribosomal RNA", at positions 30 to 507 of the family's 1533-position model. The record is from RNAcentral.